UACGGGGGGGGCGAGCGUUGUUCGGAAUUAUUGGGCGUAAAGGGCGCGUAGGCGGUUUGGUAAGUCUGAUGUGAAAUCUAUGGGCUCAACUCAUAGUCUGCAUCGGAAACUGCCGGGCUUGAGUAUGGGAGAGGUGAGUGGAAUUCCUGGUGUAGCGGUGAAAUGCGUAGAUAUUGGGAGGAACACCAGUGGCGAAGGCGGCUCACUGGACCGGAACUGACGCUGAGGCGCGAAAGCGUGGGGAGCAAACGGG
Molecule: ribosomal RNA, 253 nt
Filed under: uncultured bacterium
Lineage: Bacteria
Description: partial 16S ribosomal RNA
Rfam family: Bacterial small subunit ribosomal RNA
Source: RNAcentral